AGGACAAACGUUGGCGGUGCGUCUUAGACAUGCAAGUCGAGCGUGAAAGCCCGCAAGGGUGAGUAAAGCGGCGAACGGGUGAGUAAUACUUGGGUAACGUACCUUCUAGAUUGGGAUAACGCACCGAAAGGUGUGCUAAUACCAGAUAUGACCACGAUUUCUUCGGAGGUUGAGGUAAAAGAUGGCGCAAGCUAUCACUGGAAGAUCGGCUCAAGCACCAUUAGCUAGUUGGCGGGGUAAUGGCCCACCAAGGCUACGAUGGUUAGCCGGCCUGAGAGGGUGAUCGGCCACACUGGGACUGAGAUACGGCCCAGACUCCUACGGGAGGCAGCAGUUUGGAAUAUUCCACAAUGGACGCAAGUCUGAUGGAGCGACACCGCGUGAAGGAUGAAGGUCUUCGGAUCGUAAACUUCUUAGACCUAGAUGAAGGUUGCAAGGUAAUAAUCUUGCAACUUGACAGUAUAGGUAGAAUAAGCCACGGCUAACUCUGUG
Molecule: ribosomal RNA, 492 nt
Filed under: uncultured bacterium
Lineage: Bacteria
Description: SSU rRNA
Rfam family: Bacterial small subunit ribosomal RNA
Source: RNAcentral